This 1137-nucleotide long non-coding RNA is filed under the name Capra hircus (goat). RNAcentral's name for it is "lncRNA (ENSCHIG00010020773.1)". The record is from RNAcentral. Lineage: Eukaryota; Metazoa; Chordata; Mammalia; Artiodactyla; Bovidae.
AUGACAGUGCACAAAUAUUUUCAUCCAGUUUGCAAGGUUUCAUUGUACGUCCAGCCUAUCGAAUACAUUACUUUAAUUAUGUUUUUGUGUGGGAGGUAUUGUCUCAUACCCAAGCAUGCUCUUUAUUUGGUCAGACUGGAGAUUCAGAGAAAAACAAAACCAGUGUACAACUUUGAAGAGGGAAGAAUGGCUGCUGUGUCUCACACUGGAGAAAUGCUCACUGCCACCCAUCUGCACUUCUGGAGGAUAGCCAAGCCAAUCUUCCUAAAACAACUUUUCAAUUCUGAAUCUUGCCCCAAAUUUCCCAACGUUUUCCUUUUGUCUUCUGCCUGAAAUCCAAGCUCUCCAACCUGCCCCUAGUGAUUCCCCUCCCACCAAAAACACCCCGAAACACAGCCAAACAGCCCACCUCUGUCCCUUUGCUUGUCCUGCUACGACUGCUUAGUAUGCCUGUUACCCCCAGUCACCUCUCAGGACCCAACUAAAGGCUCUCAGUCACAGGAACUUUCUCGAUCCUUAUGUUCACAUACUAACUGUCUCUGAAUGCCCAUAGUAUCUCAUCUGAACUUUUCUUUCCUUUUGGCAUUUAAUAAAAUACUCCCUUGGACCCUUGCCAUUUUUAUGAUCCACCUUCUACCCUGGUUGUUGGAAAACUGUAACUGUGUGCCGUGGGAGCAGUAAUGAUUGUUAAAUCUUUGGUAGAUGGUAUUAUUGUGUGUGGUUAUUCACGCCCUCUUUCUUCAUGAAUAAAAUGUUUCCCCUGCCCCUUUUACUAUGGGCUCAAGACAUCUGACUUGCUUUAGCCAAUGGAACAUAUUGCUAUGUAUUACUUCCAAACAGAAGUUCUUGAGGAACUGAAAGANNNNNNNNNNNNNNNNNUUCCGUGCCCUCUGUCAUCAGAAAAGCAUAAGGCUUUCCUUUAGUUUAGGUCUCAAAAUAAGGAUAUAGGUAGAGGUUGCUCAGCUUGCAGUCUGGAGUAAAAUCACAUCUAAACAGUAGCUGACAAGAUGAACCUGAAAAAGAAAUAAAUAUUUGUUAUUGUAAACCACUGAAAAUUUGAGAUUGCUUACCAUAUAGUGAAAGCUGAUGGAUAUAAUAUCUAAUAUUUUAUAAACACUGUGUCCUGUAUCCACAAUA